UCUCCGUUGGUGAACCAGCGGAGGGAUCACUACCGAGUUUACAACUCCCAAACCCAAUGUGAACGUUACCAAACUGUUGCCUCGGCGGGGUCACGCCCCGGGUGCGUCGCAGCCCCGGAACCAGGCGCCCGCCGGAGGAACCAACCAAACUCUUUCUGUAGUCCCCUCGCGGACGUUAUUUCUUACAGCUCUGAGCAAAAAUUCAAAAUGAAUCAAAACUUUCAACAACGGAUCUCUUGGUUCUG
This 245-nucleotide unclassified non-coding RNA is filed under the name plant metagenome. Its description in RNAcentral is "partial contains small subunit ribosomal RNA, internal transcribed spacer 1, and 5.8S ribosomal RNA". The record is from RNAcentral.